RNAcentral lists this long non-coding RNA (300 nucleotides) under Theobroma cacao (cacao). RNAcentral's name for it is "long non-coding RNA (TCAC_LNC004816)". Lineage: Eukaryota; Viridiplantae; Streptophyta; Magnoliopsida; Malvales; Malvaceae. The record is from RNAcentral.
AUCACGAGGCAACCGGUAACUAGGACGAGGUGUCCUUGUAGACUUAUAUCCAUCUUUUGGUAGGUGUCUCGGCAUUCAAUAGCUGUACAUUCGUUCGAGUCCCUCCGCUGGAAGUCGAGUAUUAUUUUGUUGUGUAUAGACGAACCUAAUGUAAAUUGUUAAGAUACAUGUUGUAGACAAUGUAUAUACACUUGUUUGGUAUGCCAGUAUGAGUUGGCAUUGUUUAAUAUUAUUUUGAUCCUAAGUUAUGAAAUGUGACUUAGCAGUUUAUAAUGGCAUGAUGAACAUGUCAGAUUGAUA